This 7204-nucleotide long non-coding RNA is filed under the name Malus domestica (apple). Its description in RNAcentral is "long non-coding RNA (MDOM_LNC015505)". Lineage: Eukaryota; Viridiplantae; Streptophyta; Magnoliopsida; Rosales; Rosaceae. The record is from RNAcentral.
AAGAAUUCCACUUUGAAUUUCUGACUUCAAGCUCCUCUUUCUUCUUCUCCUUGCUGCGGCAGAGAGGGUUUAGGGUGUUUUUGGGUGUGAUUUUGGUUUUAGAAGGGAAUUAGGAUGGUAUGGUGGUGCGGCAAGGAGUGGGGAUGGUGCAUGGAGGUGUAGGAUGGUGGCUAGAGGUGGAUGAAGGCUGCUGCGGCAAGGUUGGGAAGUGGCUGGAAUGGAUGAAGGCUGCGGCAAGGAGGUGUAUGGGUGAUGGUGGCUGCGGCAAGGUGGGGGAAUAAGGGUUGGAUGGUUUCUGAUUUGUGGAGAGGGAGAGAUCAUGCGGCAAGGUGUAAAACACCUAUAUAUAGGCACCUAAAACCCUAAUUAAAUCAGAUUGGGCUAGGGUUAGGUGCGGCUACCUCAAUGGACUAGGGUUAGGGUUUGUAAAAUAGGGCUUCUAGGAUGGAAAGGUGCGGCAUGGGCUUAGGGUUUAUAAUCAGAUUUUUGCAUGUGAACAAGGCCUAGGUGCGGCUGAUUAAGUGGCUAGGGUUAGGGUUUAGGUGCGACAUAGGUCCAAGAAGUAAGGAUGGGUCAUCCAAAAGCCCAAAGCCGAGAAUAGAAACUCACGAAAAUGGAAACCUCCAAGAAUAGAAACUUCCAACUUUAGAAACUUUGGUUGCCAAUUCCGAUUUAGGAAAGAUCAACCCAAAAUGGAAACUUUUAGGCUUAGCUUUCCUACUUGAAGUAGGAAACCUCAAAUCUUCAACUUCUUCAAUUCCAUCCCAACCUUGUGUUCCAAGCAUGUCCUUUUCAAUCCAAGCUCAUAUUUUGCUCCAAAAGCUCCAACUUGCAUCAUUUCAUGUAAUAUGUCCUUUAAACCUGAAAACACAUGAAAGUAGCUUAAAAGACUACUUUAACGAAGAAAACAUAACAAAGAUGCAUAAGAACUAGCUAACUAAGGCGCAUAAAUAUGCUCCUAUCAAAUUCCCCCACACUUAGCUUUUGCUAGUCCUCGAGCAAAACAAACAAAAGAAAGAAAACAAAACGAAACAAACUAACCAAAACAAAACCUAAACCUUCCAACGUUUGCCUCAGGGAUUUCCAAUGCACAUGACAUGUUAAAGAUUGCUAUCCCCACAGAUUUGAGUCAUCUUUACACAAGCACAUACUUAAUUAAAGCCACCACUUACUAGUUCACAAGUAAUCAAUUAAAACAAUGCUUUGAAUGUAGUAACAUGCCUUAGAGAAUUCCCUCAAUUCCUUACAAGAUAUACACUCUAUUUUCACUCAGAUUUUCUAACUCCACACCCUACACUAGUUAUAUGUGAGAAGAUUGAUGUAGAUAUGAAAACGAAUGCUCACAUAUAUGUUUCACAAAGAACGCAAUUUCUAGAGUUAAGAAGCAUGUUUAGAUAUGAUCUCAUGAAUGGAAUGCUACUACUUAGAUGCGAGAACCAGUGACACCAUAUGCUCAUACCAAAUUCAAACUCCACAGAUUGAAACACAUAACACUCAAGAUAGAAGUUAAGGGUUGUAAUGGGGCUCGGGGUAUUGGUUAACAAGGAAAGGAUAAGGAAAACAAACGUUCUUCAAGCGAUAGUAAGCAAGCAAUGAAAUUGAGACUUAGAAUUCACUUAGAUUGCAGAAAUUAACUUUAACACACAAGGGGGAUACUUAAACAACUCCUUAGGGUCAAAUUCAUUGUUUUGGACCCUUACUUCAACCAACAAUACUUUGGAAGUCUUUGUCUCAACUUUUCAACUCUUUUUUUCAUACUUCUCAUACUUUUUCUUCAUUUUUUUCUUUUUCCACGAAUUUUUUUUUCUUUUUUUUUUCUUUUCUUUCCACACGUGCCUAUGGCACACAAAAUCACAAAAGAAAUACUUCCCCCACACUUGUUUUCUGCCAACAUAAAUCAAAAGGAAUUCAAUUUGAAUCAUGCUUUACUAUGCUUUAAGAACAAGGUAUGGAUGGUCCUAAUCUAGGCUAGGUGAGGAUAAUGUGGGUUAACAACAACAUAGGCUAAACAAGGCUCAACGGGGUUAAACUUAAACAUAAAAUGAUAUGGGAUACACGGCAGUUUGGCUAAGGUGGUGGUAACUACACAACUUUAUCUUGAAUAUGUGUUAUGCAAAUCAAUAACAUGCUUUGAAUGAAAUGGGCAUGAGUUCUAGCAUUUGGAACUAAAUGAUGAAACGCCUUCUAAAUAGUAACCAAGCAAGGAAUAAUGAGAUCAUGCAACGACUUAGAAAACAAAGAAUGCACAGAUUUUAACUCUCCAAAUAAACGUUUAGGCUCAAGUCUCACAAGGUUGUAGCGUUAGUUUGAGUUCCUUCCUUCAAGCAUGUUACAAAAACUGAUUUUUUUCUUUUAUGAUUGCAUGUGAAUUCAUAAGUUAUAACCACAACCAAGCAUAAACAAAGAGUAAAUCAAACUUUCAUCCAUGUUAAUCACUCUCUUUAACAGUCAUGCACUUAAAAACCAAAUCCUCAUCAUUGUGUUGGAAGGUACCCUAAGACACAAACAAACACACAAAAACAACUCUUUUUGGGUUUUUAAAACAAAAUUUUCAAAUUUUUAUGUGAUUUUCGGAUUUUUACUUCAAAACACACUAAAACACACCAAAACUGCUCAAAAACACUUAAAAACAGCAAGGAACAAGUCUCCAAGUUAAGGGUGAUAAAAUCCCACGAAUUUGCAUUUAAAACACUUAGUUACCCCCCACACUUAAAUCAAACAUUGUCCUCAAUGUUUCAAGCAUAAAAUCACACUAAACAAAAAGAAACACACAAACAGCAGCUAAAACAACUAAAUAGGCAGAUUCGAAAUAAAUAACAAAGUGAAGAGUUUAGGAACGCAAAUCUGGAAUUGAAGUAAUUCCUUGGUCUUCCUUUGUUGAAUUGCAUGGGUUGCCUCCCAAGUAGCGCUUUCCUUAACGUCGUACAGCCGGACGAAAAACACAAUCAUGCCCCAUUGGAGCCCACGGCAUGGAGUGGGAUCUCCUCCACAACCUGCCCCACAAAGUUCUUGUACAUUGCAUCCUUGAACGGAAAUGGAUAGUGAUUUUUGUUGAUGGGUGCGUUGUGUUGCCUAAGGUUCAUGUUCAUGCGCCCACCAUCGGAGAUUUGCUUGGGUGCCUGCACCAAAGAAGGAAACCACCUAUCAACUUUAAUGGGAAUUGGAUUUGGACUAGGUGCCUUACCUUGGUGUUGUGAUGAAGUGGCAGCAACAUGAACUUUUUUUCUCAUGGUGUUCUCGGCCACAUUGGGUAUCUUAAGGGCAGUGGCCGUGGGGUCCUUAUGCUCUACUCCAAUUCCCUCGUCUUGCAUGGCUCUUGAUGCAACCUUUGUGUUAGGGGCUGAAUGGUCUGUCCCUAUCUUUUCUAUUGUAUCCAUAACACAACAAGAACGAACAACGUUAGGAGUCUCAAUGGAUUCAGAAAUUUUAAAACAAAUCAUAUCACCACCAAAUGCCAUAGUUACUUCUCCUUUGGCUACAUCAAUCUUGGUUUGAGCCGUUUUCAUGAAAGGCCGUCCAAGGAGAAUGGGCAAUGAAGGAGCAUGAUCUGAUUCAUCCAUCUCAAGAACAUAGAAAUCCGCCGGAAAGAUCAAAUGAUUAACCUGCACCAAAACAUCUUCCACAACUCCCUUUGGAUAUGCAUUAGAUCUAUCGGCCAAUUGUAUGAUUACACCAUCAUUUUUUAACUUGCCUAGGUUCAUAGAUGCAUAAAUUGAAUAUGGCAUAACAUUUAUGGAUGCACCUAAGUCUAACAUGGCAGAUUUGAACCUAGUAUUACCAAUGACACAAGGAAUGGUGAAACUACCCGGAUCUUUGCAUUUAGGAGGUAGUUUACGUUGUAUCAUGGCAGACACAUUCUCACUUACCUGUACCACUUCUUUCUCCCGAAAACGUUUCUUUGUUGUACAAAGCUUCUUCAAACACUUGGCGUACUUCGGGAUUUGCUUGAUUGCAUCCAAGAGAGGUAUGUUAACUUGAACCUUCCUAAAUGUCUCUAGAACAUCUUUUUCCUCCUCUUCAUUCUUGAAUUGCAAAAAUCUGCUAGGAAAGGGCACAUUGGGUGGAAUAAUGUUAGAAUUAACCAAACUUGGACUCAUCUUACCUAGGGUGGACGGAUUGGAUGGCUUAGGGGCCAUGGGUGCUUGCGGCAAAGGUGGUGCUACCUUUGCCGUGAGUGGACUUGGUGUCUCCUCUUCAUAUUUCAACGUUUCAUCCUCUUUGGGACCUGAUUUUGGUGGUGUAGGACCUACCCCAACUUCUUUUCCACUCCUUAGCAUGAUUGCAUUGGCGGUUUCAAAACCUCCUUUUGGAUUCGCAAUGGUUGAACUAGGAAGCUUUCCUUGUUCUCUAAACUGCCCAACAAACUCCGCAAUCUGCCUAAUUUGCUUCUCCAAUUGAUCUACCCUAAUGUUCGUGCUUUGCAUUGCUUGGGUUUGCUUUUCCUGCCCAUGAGUCAACUUGGUUAGUAUCUUAAGAAGUGCAUCAUUGUCUAGGGACGUACCUGAAGCAUUUGGGUCAGAUUGUGGUUGGUUUUGAUUGGGUGUGUACGGCUUGGUGAAGAACCCCGGGGGUUGUUGCCUAAAGCCUCCUUGGUUUUGAGGUUGUUGGGGCUCCCUCCACUUGAAAUUUGGGUGGUCUCUCCAACCGGGAUUAUAUGUGUUUGAAUAUGGAUCGUUCCUUGGUUGGUUGUGACCUUGAAACCCAAUUGCUUGGGAGCUUUCCCAUCCACCAUUUUCAAUCAACUGUGGACACUUUUCAGAGACAUGUCCUUGGAUGGAACAUACGCCACAUACAAUUGGUCCUUGAAUCUUCAUGCCCUCGGCCAUCUGAGACACAAGAGAAGUAAGAUUAGCCAAUUGUGAAUGAAGAUCAGAAGUUGUACUUACCUCAUGUACUUGGUGCCGUGGGGGUCCCCUUUGGCCUACUCCCUCAUAUUGUUGAGCGUUCAACGCUCGAUUAGAGAUCAAGAUCUUGGCAGCCAUGGGUGUUUUGUCCACCAAUGCUCCCCCCGCCGAAGCAUCAAGCAUUUGACGUUCUAGAGGUAGGAGACCCUCGUAGAAAUAUUGCAAAAGCAACUCCUCCUUCAUCUGAUGCUGUGGACAAGAAGCAACAAGUGAUUUAAAUCGUUCAUAAUAUGUAGGAAAAGACUCACCUUCUUCUUGCUGAAUUCCGCUUAUCUUUUUGCGUAGGAGGAUGAUGCGAGAAGUUGGAAAGAACUUCUCCAAGAACGCUCUCUUCAUACUCUCCCAAAAAGUGACAGUGCCGGGAGCUAACUCGUAUAACCAAUCCUUGGCUUUAUCCAUCAAAGAGAAUGGAAAAGCCUUCAUCUUCAAGAUACAUCCGUCAACAUUGACGGGAGUCAUACUAGAGCAAACCACUUCAAAUUCUUUCAAAUGUUUGUUAGGAUCUUCCAUGGACAAGCCAUGGUAUUUAGGAAUAUGAUGAAGCAAACUUGACUUUAAUUUAACUCGUCCGUCUUACCUUGGGCAGCCGUGGGGUAUUGGAUGCACAAAGGUGCGGCAUUAUCCAAACCUGAGGCGGAAAGCUCUUUGAGUGUAUGGUUGUCCACCGCCAUGCCUUGGACUUCUUCAAAUAUCCCUGCCGUGGCCUCCUCCUCUUCUUGUACGUUUUCUUCAAGGUCAGAUUCGGAAUUGGGUGGAUGGUGUUCUUGCUGGUUUCUAGCUCUUCUCAAUUUCCUCUCAAAGUCGUCGUCAAAAUCCAAGAUGUUCGCACGAAUCGUUUGAGAUCUUCUAGUCAUACACUAGUACCUAAGAAACAAGAAACAAAAUUAGAUCAGAAACUUAAACAAAAUCAGAAACAAAAACAAUCCAAGGGAUUAGCAAAUUUGCUAAUCCCCGGCAACGGCGCCAAAAAUUUGAUGCGAAAUUUAUUAAGCACACAAAUUAAACCCUCUUUUUGUCAAAUUGUAGCAAAGAUGUAAGUAGGGAUCGUUCUAGACUGGGGAUUAGGAGGGAUUGCUAAACACUUGGAAACUGACUUAAAAACUCAGAAACAAAGUUUAAAACACUAAACUAGACUCAAAGAAUGCAAAACUAAAGUUUAAAACACUUAAACAAACCUAAAACUCAAAACAGCAACUAGAAGGCUCAAAACUGCCUAAAAACCACUUUCUGGGCAGUUCUGAGCACCUACACUAAUUUGGACGAAAUUUGAUGAAAACUUGAAUCAAAAUACUUAGAAACACAAAUCAAAACACUUUCUAACUAAUAUAAGACUUCAAAUUAAAGGGGGAUUUUGUUUUGACGAAAAUUAAAAUAAAGAAAACAGAUUGGAAAUAGGGCAGAUUGUAAAAACGAUUUUGGUGAAAUAGAUGGAUAAAAGGCUAGUUAGGAGGUUCUUCUCCACACAUGUCACACUUGCAAACAAAACGAUUUUCAGUUGUUCUUCCAAUAAAUUAUGAAUACUCAAUGCCCCAAAUUAACCGUGAAUUGCACUAAUUAACCCUCAGUUUUUCCAUAAGUUAUCAAGUUGGAUGAUUGCAUACGACAACCCAAAACAUUCCCUACAAGUUCCCUACAUGAAUUGCAUAAUAGAGAUACAAGCAAGAAUCAUUACGUUCUAUGAAAAACAUAAGCAUUGACGAAGCAUUUGUUACUAUGAAUUGCAUGAAACUUAUGCUAAGAAUUCAUUCAACGCGAUCGUUUUCAAGCGAUCUUCACUACUUGUGAUUAUAAGAUUGUAACUAUUAGGUGAAACUCCCUCAUAAUCUAGCAUCAUAUUCAUGCAUGAAAACUAAGCGUGCACUCUCAAUCAACAUACACAAAUAAGUUAUCAAUCAAGUAGAUGAACGAAUUGAAUCCACAACUUAUGAAUAACAACUGAAUGUAAUCAAAUCAUAUUGCAAGCAUGUACAUGGUUUCGAAUCACCCCCUAACUAUGGGGGUUUAGUUCCUCAUACUCACAACAUAAAGUUUAUUGAAUUGAAACAUCGAAGACAUAAGAAAGAUUACACCUAAAACGACCAAGAAUUCCACUUUGAAUUUCUGACUUCAAGCUCCUCUUUCUUCUUCUCCUUGCUGCGGCAGAGAGGGUUUAGGGUGUUUUUUGGGUGUGAUUUUGGUUUUAGAAGGGAAUUAGGAUGGUAUGGUGGUGCGGCAAGGAGUGGGGAUGGUGCAUGGAGGUGUAGGAUGGUGGCUAGAGGUGGAUGAAGGCUGCGGCAAGGUUGGGAAGUGGCUGGAAUGGA